Molecule: ribosomal RNA, 253 nt
Filed under: uncultured bacterium
Lineage: Bacteria
Description: partial 16S ribosomal RNA
Rfam family: Bacterial small subunit ribosomal RNA
Source: RNAcentral
UACGUAGGGUGCAAGCGUUAUUCGGAAUUACUGGGCGUAAAGCGUGCGCAGGCGGUGAUGUAAGACAGAUGUGAAAUCCCCGGGCUCAACCUGGGAACUGCAUUUGUGACUGCAUCGCUGGAGUGCGGCAGAGGGGGAUGGAAUUCCGCGUGUAGCAGUGAAAUGCGUAGAUAUGCGGAGGAACACCGAUGGCGAAGGCAAUCCCCUGGGCCUGCACUGACGCUCAUGCACGAAAGCGUGGGGAGCAAACAGG